ACGGAAUCCAGAUGCGGAGUGUUACAUCCUAGAAUCAUUAGGAUCAUUAUUUGUAGUUACGCUAUAUUAUGUAAUAAAGAGAGUCGAGGAUGAUCGUGACAGGAUUCCAUUGACGCCCAUCUAUGCCACAGAUAGUGUGAAGUGGACAUAUCGGACAACAAAUAUUCAAGUUUUCCAGGUAGAUUUAGCUGUUGGCAAAAUGAUUGAGACCAGGGAUUUAGGGGACAAAGCUUUUUUUCAGAGCGCUAAUGCUUCUCUUUCGGUCCAAGCUUCUCAAUUUCCAGGAAUCAAGCGCAAUCAUAUUUAUUUUACAGAUAAUUGUUUGAUUGAGCACACGUAGUUUGAAGAAGGAGGCGGCUCGGACAUGGGGGUGUUCAACUUAGCAGAUGGAAGUUUCCAGUCGCAUUACGAGGGUAUUUCCCUCAGUCGUGUUUGUCUGCCACUUUGGGUCACACCAACUUUGUGUUGACAUUGAUGCAAGUUGAAUUAUGAUAAUCGACCCAACAGUAGCACCAGAUAAGAUAGAAACUGAAGGGGGGUGGCACUGUGGCAGCAGCGGAAUGUGUUCUUGCCAAUGGCCCUCACAUAAUCCUGGAUUACCCAGAAAACGAAGUAAAACUGAUAUUGCCAGGAACUGAAUACUGAAAUUAGUGCAUCCUUUGAUUCAUCAAAGCCAGUUACAGCUGCUGAUGUUCAGGAGAUCUUUGAGAAUAUUAGCGUAGGCGGGUAACUUAAGUUCUUUUGGAUGUUCAAGGAUGUACUAGUAGGCAGCUACACAUUUACUAGUAUUUUAACUGCUCUAUGUACAAGGAGAAUUGUUAAUGUUGCUAUUCUACUAUCUAACUCUUAGCUUAUAGUAGUAUGUUCUAUGGUUAGACAAUGCUAUCAUGUUACUGUUAAGCUGAAAGAAUUCCUUUGCGCAAUGGAAAUUGCUGUAGAAUGUUUCUGCUGGAUCGCAAUUUCACAUUCUUCUUCCUUCUCCUUUACAAGAGAACAAUUCAAGGAGUAGCCGAUCACAAGUCAUUCAAAUCAAGAAGGAGAUGUGUAGAUUGUCAUAUAUUGAAUGUGGCCCGGUAUGUAAAUGAUUUAAUUUCUCACCAUUUGUUUAUAUUUCAUAAAUGGUAUCACAAUUUGAACAAGUGGACCAAUGAACAAAUUACUAUAAUGAUAAGCGGUGUCAAUUUUAUAUUUAUCCUCAAAAUAUUUUCA
Molecule: non-coding RNA, 1209 nt
Organism: Nicotiana tabacum (common tobacco)
Lineage: Eukaryota; Viridiplantae; Streptophyta; Magnoliopsida; Solanales; Solanaceae
Source: RefSeq, a predicted model, not a curated record